This 541-nucleotide long non-coding RNA is filed under the name Homo sapiens (human). Its description in RNAcentral is "non-protein coding lnc-LYZL2-2:1". The record is from RNAcentral. Lineage: Eukaryota; Metazoa; Chordata; Mammalia; Primates; Hominidae.
AACCUGUGGGCGGAGCAGAUCUGGGGGAAAUUUGGACACAUCGGUGUGACGUCUCCUAGACAUCCAAGCCACCAUCUCAAGGAGGGACUUGGACGAAUGUGUGUGCACUUUGGGAGAAAGUUCAGGGCUGGCAAUGGACAUGCAGGGGUUGUUAUGUGGCAGCAAAUCUCAACUGAUUUAGAGGUUUAUUUUGCCAAGGUUGAGGAUGAGCUCAGGAAAAAAUUACACACACACACGCAGGUUACAGGAACAUAUGUAGCCUGUGCUUUUGUCCAAAGAGGGUUUUGACAACUUCAGUGUUUAAAAGGGAAAGAAUGGGCAGGAGAGGAAGGAGGAAAGGAAAAAAAGGGAGGGUUGGCAAAAAGAACACUGAUUAGUACACACUGAAUCCACAUUUUACAUGUGAAAAGGGGAGGUCAAUUAUGCAUUUGUCUGUGCUCAGUAAAUCUACAUUCUACAGAAGAUAAAGUAAGCAUGUGAAAUUACAGCUAUCUAGGAAAAAAAGGAAGGCAGUUGUUGGUUUGUUGUUUGUUUGUUUCAG